GUAUCUUUGCUGCUUGAAAGUAAAAAUCUAAGUUAGACCAAGGCAAGUGAUAGAGAAGCACUAAUGGGAAGGUCCCUCUGAGCACUAAACAGUGGCUUCCAUUGAGAUUUGGGAAGCUUUUUGUUCAUGCAAAAUGAGGACGAAAUACUGGAAAACGACUGGAGAAAAAAGGCAUCCCUGGGGAACAACAUUCAUCUGAAGAGCCAACUGGGAGCCGGGAUGGGAAACUACUAAAGUUUGAUGCACCAGACUUUGGCCUGAUGCGCUCUCAGCAAAAUGUACAGAGGAGAUGGCCACUUGGUCUUUGGGAGCCCCUGGCUCUCUCUUUUUAAUGACACUAGCUGCUCUUAGCGCCCACUACAGGAAAUGAAGCAAUGGAAGAAGCGCACCUCAUGUGAAAGCAUUUGGAUUUUGCUAGGCUAUUUUCUGAGUAGUAUUUGUCCCGUGGAAAAAUACAGAAGAGGAAAUGAUCUUAGUUAUUCAUGUCUUCAUUCUCCACAUUUGCUCUAUGUUUGGCCUGUGCCAGGGUUGUAGGAGAUGUCGAAAAAGCUCAGAUUCUGCCAAGCAAGGAGUCUGUGACAUCCUCGUGGUUAACAAGUAGGAAGUGACAAAUCCCUGAGGGGAGAUGUGAGGGCCUGCAGUUCCACGAGGGAGCGUUUGCCCAGGGGGUUCAGGGACAUCCUGGUGGUGGUGUCUUCGCUCUCCAGACAGACUCCUUCUAAACACCAUAAAGAAGAGGGCCUGGCCAGGCGCGGUGGCUCACACCUGUAAUCCCAGCACUUUUGGAGGCCGAGAAGAGCAGAUCACGAGGUCAGGAGAUCGAGACCAUCCUGGCUAAUAUGGUGAAACCCCGUCUCUACUAAAAAUACAAAAAAAUUAGCUGGUCAUGAUGGUGGGCGCCUGUGGUCCCAGCUACUUGGGAGGCUGAGGCAGGAGAAUGGCAUGAACUCAGGAGGCGGAGCUUGCAGUGAGCUGAGACCGCACCACUGCACUCCAGCCUGGGCAACAGAGCAAGAGUCCAUCUCAAAAAAAAAGAAGAGGGCCUUGCCAUGCCCUUCUGUGCCUCCCCACACCUCUUGCAUGGGGUGACAGAUUCACCAGAGGCAUACAGUAUGGGUAAUUAAAUGGGCUUAGCUCAAGUUGGAGAAGAACUAUUGCUAACCUCUUUGUGUUUGGGUUAGGUGGCUAUUAUCUACUUAAUAAAAUAAUGUUGAAAAAGCAGGGCCCACUGGGACUGAUGGGGGUGCCGUUCACAAUGUUCACAAUGUAUUAUAAGUGAACAAUGCCCCCACAUGUGGGCAGCAUGGCCCGCUCUUCCAGAAGAGUAAGUCACAGCCAAUGUGAAGUGACUCAAGAGUAUACAAAGACUGCUCCUUACUUCUUUUUGACAAGGAACUUCCACAAGUAGAAAACUCAAGGAUUCCUUUGAGCCUUAACAGCUAUUUGGUCCUUCAGAAUACAUAUUAAAAUGCAAAUGUCAGCCGGGCGCGGUGGCUCACGCCUGUAAUCCCAGCACUUUCGGAGGCCGAGGCGGGCGGAUCAUGAGCUCAAGAGAUCAAGACCAUCCUGGCCAACAUGGUGAAACCCCGUCACUACUAAAAAUACAAAAAUUAGCUGGGCAUGGUGGUGUGUGCCUAUAGUCCCAGCUAUUCAGGAGACUGAGGCAGGAGAAUCACUUGAACCCAGGAGGUAGAGGUUGCAGUGAGCCAAGAUCGCGCCACUGCAGGCGACAGAGAGAGAUUCUAUCUCAAAGAAAAAAUAAUAAUAAUAAAUAAAUAAAAUGCAAAUGUCUCCUAGGACAGAGCAGUAUUUUGUCUUAGGGACAGGAAGGAUUAUCUGACAACUAAGUAGAAGCAAGGAUGGCUGGAAGAGAGAGGGGCAUGAUCCAGAAAAGGGCAGUGGUGGCCAGGAUCAUCACAGCUUGAUCUUUAUGAUAAUCUAGUUUGCUUCUCUUUUGUAAAAGGUGAAUGUGAUGAUCCAGGAAGUUAGAUAAUUUGCAAUCUCCCACAACCUGGAAAUUCUUUCUCUGGAGCCCUUGGUAAUGAUAAUAGCAAUAAUAAUGAUGAUAGUUAACAUUUCUUGAACUCUUGCUAUGUGAAAGGCACAGUUAGGCUCUUUAUACAUAUUAGCUUAUUUAAUUGCUCAUGAUGUCCUUAUGGUGUAGGUAAUAAUAUUUUUCUCAUUUUUACAGAUGAGGAGACUGACCUACAGAGAGGUAAAGUCCCUUGGCAAGGUCUCAUAGCUAGUGAGGGAAAGAAGAAUGUGUCACUUGAGGGAAAGACAGGAAGCCAUUGCCCCUGCAUACUGUUGUGUGAGCAAAGGCACUGAGGUGGG
Molecule: long non-coding RNA, 2334 nt
Filed under: Homo sapiens (human)
Lineage: Eukaryota; Metazoa; Chordata; Mammalia; Primates; Hominidae
Description: LHRI_LNC436.1
Source: RNAcentral